RNAcentral lists this ribosomal RNA (501 nucleotides) under uncultured Glomeromycotina. RNAcentral's name for it is "partial small subunit ribosomal RNA". It matches the Rfam family "Eukaryotic small subunit ribosomal RNA", at positions 591 to 1092 of the family's 1831-position model. The record is from RNAcentral. Lineage: Eukaryota; Fungi; Glomeromycota.
CCAAUAGCGUAUAUUAAAGUUGUUGCAGUUAAAAAGCUCGUAGUUGAACCUUAGGGCCGUGCGGGCGGUCCGUCCUCUGGGCGAGCACUGCACCGUCGCGGGUCUCACCUUCUGGCGAGCGUGGAUGCCAUUCACUUGGUGUCCGCGGGAACCAGGACCUUUACCUUGAAAAAAUUAGAGUGCUCAAAGCGGGCUCGUACGCUUGAAUACAUUAGCAUGGAAUAAUGAAAUAGGACGACGGUUCUAUUUUGUUGGUUUCCGGGACAGUCGUAAUGAGUAAUAGGGAUAGUUGGGGGCAUUCGUAUUCAAUUGUCAGAGGUGAAAUUUUUUGAUUUCUUGAAGACGAACUACUGCGAAAGCAUUUGCCAAGGAUGUUUUCAUUAAUCAAGAACGAAAGUUGGGGGAUCGAAGACGAUCAGAUACCGUCGUAGUCUCAACCAUAAACUAUGCCGACUGGGAAUCGGGCGAUGUUACUCUUUUUGACUCGCUCGGCGCCCCGAG